Zonotrichia albicollis (white-throated sparrow) is the source of this 7163-nucleotide non-coding RNA. The record is from RefSeq and is a predicted model, not a curated record. Lineage: Eukaryota; Metazoa; Chordata; Aves; Passeriformes; Passerellidae.
CCCACGGCAUCCCCAGCCCCACACGGCAUCCCCAGCCCCACGGCCCUGAAUGGAAAACCUGUUCAGGAAAAUCUGUGGAUGCUCCCAUGUGGGUCCGCAUCCAAAGCACACGUCCAGGCCCUCUCUUUUCCAACUCAGGGAUGGGAAGGGAGCCACUGGUUUCUAAACUAAAAUGAAACUAUAAUUCACUUUGCAAAAGUACAUGAGCCCGUUUUUAAAAAUCACAAAGAAACAGAUCUCAGGUGGGUUCUGGGUUUGCUCUGCUGGCAGAUUCAAAGCAGCACUGCUCACCACACCAGCCUUCUGCAGGGCAUUCAUCAAAACCAUGGGAGUAUUUUUAAAACCCCACCAAAGUAAACCAUACAGCUAAUUUAUAAGCAUUCAGAUGUGCAGUAACUCUAGCACAAAUAUCCCUAUCAGUAUGGUGGUGGCCCCAUAUAAUACAAUGAGACACAAUUCAGACCUGUGACUGUCUAUUGAAUGCAUAAUAUGCGUUUUUAAAAUUGCCUGGAAACAUAUUCAUAUUGUAAAAUCUAAUGGUUCAGGUGGAGCUUUUACUCUUGAUCAAAUAAUAAAAUUGUUAGAGACCACUCUGUCAUCCCAUUGCUCACCAGCCUCCGUGAGGACUGUUUUACAUUCCCGUUUAAAUAGGACAGGAGAGCAAAAAAGGAAAACAUAAACCACAGAAGAGUUACUACAGACAUUAACUUUUAAGCCAGAAAAGCAAAAGAGCUGAGAAAGAAGCUCCAUUCCGGGGGAAUUGUCUUUGUCACUCUGCAUCCACCGAGGUUUCCUGCAGCCAAAGCCUCUGGUCGGCGAAUGAGGAUAAGGCUGCACUCACUAAGUCCCAGCGGCUGUCUGGGGCAAGGUGUCCUUGUUUGGCCUCCAAAAUAGCUCCUUCCUGUGGAUUCAGGUCUGCCAGGGAAGGGGACUGAUGUGGACAGACAGACAGAGCCUGUGGACAGCCGAGACUCCCCGUGGGAUGGAGUGGGUGGCGAUGGCCUUGUCCGUGAAAAAGGAAUCUGAAGUGCAGACUGGCGAUAGUAAUGGUGAUUACCAUGAAAGCGUGGAGCUUUUCAUUACUGAAAACUUCAAAUAACUCUCCUGAACUAUAUUUGAGACAUUUUUUUUUCAUGUUAACUCCGGGUUUGAUUGCUGAAAAAGGUUGACUGCUAGAAAAGGAAAACCAGUGCAGUGCACAGCAGUGGGGAAUCGAAGCCCUUCUUUACCAGAACCCCUGCCAUAUACGUACUGUCACUCACCUUCCAGACACUCAGUACAACCAUUCAAUCUAUUGAAUCAAGAGACUGUUUGAUCUUAUCUGCAUCUGUGAGCUGACUGUCAACCUGCUUAGGCUGCAUAUUAAAUCAUCUAUAGUAGCUGUAUCAAGCUGGGAUGAUCUGUUAAUUCUAAAUUUAUUAACCCUUAGAGUGCAGCCAUCAUGUUUAAUCUAGUGUAGCCAGCAUUUAUUUUACAAGACCAAAUCCUUCUUUAGGACAUGGCUGUGCUGUAGGUUAAGGAAUUGGUAACGUGGCGGAGCUGGUAAGUGGGAACAGCCCCACUUUGAUCUCUGGAAGCCAGCUGCCAGCACCGCUGCUCCAAACACGAAUGUGUGUGCUCAUGUCGUGCUCCCGUGUCCGGGAUGGGGGAGCUGCACAUGUGUGUGGACCUAUUGGCAUUACCUGGGAGUUUUGCCUGAGAUGAGCCACAAAAUGAGCGGCCUCAAACAAUGUUUGAGCCCUGUGCCUGCAGGAGAACUUAAAAUCAAAAAUCAGAGUGACGGCAACACCGCAGCACCAGCUGAGGGUGGGUCCUGUGAGGAGCUGCCACCAAAGCUCUUCCACUUCUCGUAGCUGCUGUCCCAAGCAAUGAACAAAUGUCCUGGGAGUGUGAGGAGCAUGGCCAGGGCAGGACAGGGGGGAAUGCGCGCGUUCCUGCCCGCGCACGGACAGACCCAGCCCAGCAGCGCGCACGGCAAUUUCAUAGGGACACAUCCAUCCGCAUCAAUAUGUUAAUCUGUUCGUUACACACACGCGUCUCUCCCUGCCCUGCUCUCCUGUUAUCUAUUAUCUUUGCACAUCCACGAUGGUAUCAACAUAUUCACAGCUUUUAUUUCAGUCGCAAACUGCUAGGCAUGCUUCCUUUUUUGGUAAUCAUGUGCCCGGUAUCUCUCUAAUGUAGCCUAAUAACAAUUUUAGCAUUCAGAUGAAGCGAUUUCAUUCUGUGACUGCCUUUUCUAUUAGAUUUGAUUCUGAGAAGCCCCAGUGGGUGCCUCGGAGGCAGAGAUCUAUCUGUGAGGCUGCAACCGAUUCAAUAGCAGCCUGAGCUAACCUUGACCUUUCCCUAGACCCUGCUCCAUCUGGUGCCAGCCUGGUCCCCCCCUUCUCCUCCUCCUUGCUUCACAGUCAGCAUUGAUCAAGGCGGAAUCGAGCGUCUCUCUCUCCCUCCAAGGGCUGGGCAGUCGUGGAAAGGACAGCACAUUUCAAUAUAUGGAAAUGAUCGAGCCUCUUAUGCAAUCAUAAAUCUACAUACAGCCUCGUGAUUUGAUAUUUCAUUCACCUCCAAAGAUUCUCACCCUCCCUCCCACCAGCAGGGAUUUAUAAACUAUAAGACAACAGCUUUCCCCAACACCUGGAUAUUACAAAGCUUGCUGUUUAUCGGGAGCGAACGCCUGGCAAUUUCAUCCGAUUCACUCGGUGGUUUAUUUAUUAUCACUCCGUUGUUUUCCCUGCGUGCCCGGGGUAUUUUAUUUCUUUCCGGGGGCUUUGCCCGCUCUCCCCCGGCCCCUUCGGGCGGCGGCAGCGGCUCGGACCGGGCUAGCGGAUGGGAAGGAAGGCUCGGCUCCAGCCCCGCAUCCCGCUGCUCUCCGGGAGCGCCUCAGGAGCCGGGAACGAGCACGGGCUCCCGCGAUAAACCAGCGCCCGCCACUUUGUCACCUUCCCACUCCUGCUCCAUUCUCUCGCCCCUUUCCCGGUGCCCCCGGAGCCGCCGGGGUGCCCUGCUCGCUCCCGAGUCCCUCCCAGCAGAGCCAGCGAGGCUCUCACACCGCCGGGAUGCUCCGAGCUGCUCCAUCCCUCCUCCCCCUGCUCCUCUUCCUCGCACUUACGAUCAAUAAUUUUAUUUUUCUUCCCAAGAAUUCUGACGUAACCCCAGUUUCUCACCGCAUACCAGCCCCGAGAUUACAUAACCGAUUAUGUAAAAUUAUAAUUGCGGGAUAAUGUAUGCAGACUCUAAUUAUUACCUAGAGUUUCCCGUGUAGCUGUAGCCAGGCGCACAGCACAUAUGUUAAGAGUCGGUUCUGCAAUAUUUGCAUAGCCAACACUUCUGGCUGGAGACGCGGUGUGGAAAAGGAAUGGAUGGAUAUUUGACAGUACAUAUGUAUGAGGGAGAUACAUUACUUAAUAGGAAAAGGUAUCUGGAAAUGUAUUCCUCUCUGUUUUGAGGAAUUUGUUUUGCUUUAUCUCCACGGGUAGUAAAAAAUAAUAGGAAGAAACUGUGAAUUACAUUGAAAAAAAAUAGAUAUAUUCAAUUUGUCAGUUUAAUAUUACACUUCCUCUCUGCAAUACUACAAAGAUUUAGAACAUUUCCAAAACUUUCAGCUCUAAUCUGUGCCUCGGGUUUCUUUGGAGGACCUGCCGCCACAUGCCAGCUAAAAAUGAGUGUCAAUUAAUAAUAAAACCCACUCUUCCUUAUUCCUGCAUGCAUAUAAUUUAACAGGCUUUGAGAAAACCACGAAUGUAAUGGUGAGAAUUUUCCAGUGUGUGCAAUAUUAACAGCUUUCAUUCUAAAGCACCAAAACUUCCUGGAACAGAACUGCUCAGUGUUUUCUCACCUUUCCCAAUGGCCAUCUCCACCUAUUAUUAUACACCUAAAAUGCAAAGACUAUUCAGCUCCUUAAAAAGUCUGGUUUGUUCCACCAAGAACAUAGUUGGUACUAACAAUCUCAGACCGAGGCAGUUCAGGUGAGCGGGCUAUUUUUAUUAUUUGUGGCCUGCAAAAUUAGAAAUAAUUUAAAACAAGAAGUAGGAGAGGUUUCAGUUUGUGUUUUCCACCACGUGAGACAUGACUGGAAAAUUUUUGCCCCUACAAUGCAACAGGAUUCCUAAAGUCUCUGAUUUCUGAGCUACCUGAGCACCCACAUAACCUCUGCAGAAGCGCCUGAGCACGGCUUGUUGUUGAAAAGCAUAUUGUACUUAUUAGUAAAAUGUGAAAUGGCUUAAAAAACAGUUUGAGCUAUGAAUUGCCAUCUGCUCAAUGGGGAGAAACAGAAAGUAACUGAAUAUAUUUUCUCACCUUUUUUUAUAGUAACAUAAACAACACUCCAGAACACUAUAAACUUGUAGCUGCACCGAAGGCGUUGGUGCAGUUCAUUGUGCUUCAGGUCAGGACUUUGUCCACACUGUUACACGCUGCUUCUUCUCACUCCCUGCACAUGUCCCAAGGUAUUUUUUUCCCCCUGUUAGUUAAGAAGGCAUUUUUAAAUGUAUUAAAUGUAUUUAAAUGUAUUUAAAUUUUAAAUGUAGGGAUUAAAAGUUUGGUGCCUCUGCCCUGAUACAGGGCCAGUCUGAGGUCUGAGCCACUCCAACCAAAGGGAGGCAGGCUGGAAGAUCUUGGCUUGGAGUGAGUUUCCCAAGGAGCAUGAGGACAAGAGAGCUGCAAAUUGUUAAGUUCUAUCCCAAAGGAGGAGCACAUGUAAGACAGUAACUCGGCAAUGCAGAAAUUGUCUUCACCUGCCUGCCUGAUGCUUUCUCCUCUCUGAAAGCCUGACUUGUUGAAAGCAUCACUUAAUAAUAAUAAUACAAGGAGCAGCUUUUCUGCUCCUUUGGAACUUGGCAGGAGCAGAAAUACGCAGUAAGGGAGAAGAGGAAUCCAAAACUUAACAACAGGGAAGGGAAGGGAAAUGUAAUGGUGUAAAGUGGCCUGCAGCCCUCACAGUUUAAUUUCCACCAAAUGCCCCAAGAAGAGCUGGGCACAGCAAAAGCCUCGAGAUUGACAUGCAAAGCAUGAGAGCUGGCUGCAAUAGCUGCACCACAGCACACGCCCAGGUGUGCUACACCUCACACACACAUCACCCCCAGGAUUAGGAUUCCAGUCACCUGUCCUCUGCUGCUAAUAAAAAUGAAAUAUAUUAGGGGAAUUUUGAAUACGGUGGCCUGACAGAGCAUGUCGUGUCUCACAUGUGGAAAAACGCGACAAGGCGCAAUCAAAGAGCAGCUCCCGUUUUUGUGGCACGGGAUUUUUCUGUUUCAGAGAGCAAAAUGUGUGCUUGGAGACCAGGGGAGCCCAAACCCUUAAACCCCUGCAGCCCCUGAGAGUGCAGUGUGAGGUCAGAUCAGCACUCACUGCUACAAGGAAGAAAAUAAUAUGUUUUUGUGAGACACCCAGAUUUGCUUUUUGCUCUCUUUUUGAGUGUGCAGAACAUCAGCAAAGCACAAGAAGCAGAGCUGUGCUUUGAGUCUCCUUCCCCUGCCACAGCAGAACACCUCCCUGGGGUGGGAGUUGUCAAUACUGUCAUGUUUCAGGUUUGCCAGGGUUUCCACUGCAAGUCUAAGCCAUCCUAGCCUGAGAUCCAGAUCCUGCAAAGGCUUUUGGAAAACAGACUCAGCCAGGUAGAUGAGCACAUCUCCAGAGAGCUGACAUGGCUGGCAGCUUUUUCAGCCCACCCUGGGCUCAGUGUUUCAGGAAAGCAAGAAGCCAGACAGAUUUUAGGGUAGAAAGUGAUAAGCAGUGCUCCAAACGAGAUGCAAACAAAGGACAGGGACUUCCAGGCACAACAGGUUAUUUUAUUCUGUGUGAAUGGCUUCCAUUAUUGACACAAGGAUGGACAUUACCAGUUCAAUCCCUGUUGGAAAUUGUGCCCCUUCCCUGACUGAGGGGAUAAAACCAAUUCAGAAAGGUAAAUCACAGCUCCAGGUGCUGGAGAUAGAAACAUUGUAAAGCCUGUUCAGCGUGGCUUCAAAAAUUGUCUCAGAAAGAAUGCUUUAAGAGGCUGUGAACAGCCAAAUCUCCGGCAUCCUCUGGGAAAGGCCUCAUGGAGUUACACCAAUGUGUCUCAAAUUUGCCCCCUCAACAGGUGACCCUGGUGCUGGUUUCUGUGGAGUGCUCUUGUGCUGCUGCUGGAGGAAGGCAGAGGAGGAAGGAGUGAGUGUGGCACUGCUUGUGCCAUGAUCUGCAGAUAGCGUGAGGACUUUGCUCCUCAGGACUGUCCAUCUGGCGCCAUUCCUGAGCAAUAAAAGCUCACCCACAAAGCAUUUCAAAGCAAACAGUUGCUGUAAUGAAUACCUCAGUACUCCUAAUACAAUACCACAAAGAGUUGCUACUAUAAAAAUACCCACUCAGUGAAGAGAGCCCAGGCUGACAGCCCAGCUCCCUCAGAGAGCAGGAGACAGCUCCCACAGGGGCUGAGUUUAUGUCACAGGAGGGUCACUUCCUCUGCCACCCACUCUCCAGUCAUUCCCCGUGGCUAAUCCAAGCACACCUGCACACCUUCCAGCAGAAAAGGUGUUCCUGCAACCCUUGGACCUAAUGAAAAGAUUCUCUCCCUGCCCUCUUCAAACUUAGAAAAGCAGGGCCACUGGAACAGCCUCAAGAGCCAAAUGCUAUCUCUGAUUCAUCAGCACACAUCGUGCACAAGAGCAAGAGGUGGUUUCGUAAGAUACCUGGAACAAAAAGUCUUUAUCAUUUUAGAUCAGAAUUUGUUUACCAGGGACAUUAUUUAACCUAAGGAAGACGGGCAGAAAUCUGAAAAUCUGCCUUUAAUUCACUCUGUUAUGAUCUGUAUUAUUGUUCUUGCAGUUCUCUUUUUAGGUGAUUUUACUGUAGGCAGGCUUGAGCAACACAGGAUGAGCUACUUUGUGGAGAGUUGAAUCCUAAGGUCUGGAUUCUUGAUUUUAAUUUUGGUGCUUCCCAACCAGAUGCACCCAUUUUUUUUUUUUCCUUUUGAAAUGCACUACUUGACAAAUGUAAAAUAAGCACUGAAACCAGAUGUACAUUGUAUUGUACCCAAGGAAUACUUACAGUACCUGAGAAAGAGCGCUGUGUGGAGGGUUUUUUUGUUUAGUUUGGUUGUUACCAUAGUACAUCAAUUAUUUUGUGCUAUUUUAUAUCAUUUUACCUUCAUGCUUUGGCAUACAAUAAAACCAGUAUCUGUUCAUAUUCUCAUA